Long non-coding RNA from Mustela lutreola (European mink), 5679 nucleotides. RefSeq lists it as uncharacterized. Lineage: Eukaryota; Metazoa; Chordata; Mammalia; Carnivora; Mustelidae. The record is from RefSeq and is a predicted model, not a curated record. The transcript is spliced from 4 exons.
UUCUCUCUGUAAAGGAAGAGGAACCUUGAUGUGUUAUUCAGGCUGACUUGCAUUCAAGGUUUACUCAGUCCCUCCACAUGUAAUCUGGACCAAUUUCUUUUUUUUUUUUUUUUUAAAGAUUUUAUUUAUUUAUUUGACAGACAGAGAUCACAAGCAGGCAGAGAGGCAGGCAGAGAGAGAGGGGAGGAAGCAGGCUCCCUGCGGAGCAGAGAGCCCGAUGCGGGGCUCGAUCCCAGGACCCUGGGAUCACGACCUGAGCCGAAGGCAGAGGCUUUAACCCACUGAGCCACCCAGGCGCCCCUGGACCAAUUUCUUAACAUCUAGCAACCACAGCAUUCUUUUCCUAGUACUAGGAAAUUUUGAGCACUCAGUAGGUGCUCCAUAAGUCAAGAUUUUUUUUCUCUUCCCUUUAAAGAUCUGGCAGUUAAGAAACUAGUCCCUGCCUUCUGUCCCCUGCUAUUUGCUCAGGAUCAUUUGUACACAUACAGUCAAGGAAAACCUCAAGGUGAAGACCCCUCCUUUCCUGCAAAUGCAAUUCCAUGUUCAUCACCAUGAGGGAGAGAAAGCAGGAAAAAGAAGAGAAUGUUAAUGUCUUGUCUUCUUUCCACCAAAAUAUUGGAGAGGGAAGAGGGAGACACCGCCCACCAAGAUGGGCCUGUUUUCUAGCUCCUUUUUAAAGAGGUGAUUCUUGGUCAGAGACCUAUUUGAAGUGAUGGUUGAGCUUUAUGUACACUGGGGAGAGAUUCCAGGUGGGGGUGAUAGUGAGUGCAAAGGUCCUGUGGUAGAAAUUAAAUUGAUUUUUUGAGGGAUGUCUGUGAAGCUAGCAUGGCUGGAAUAGAGGGAAAGAGAAGUAGCUGAGGUCAGAUACCACAGAGCAGAGUGGAGAAUCACUAUUGCCCAUUGUGAGAAGCCCACUGGGGAAGGAAGCAGACUUAUAGGACAUCCUAGCUCCUGGAAAUCUACCGGUCAGCCCAUCCAAAGUUGUCUGAUCAGUGGCAAAUUACAGUUAUUAUUAAUUGACCUGAGGCAUUGUCACAUCCUGUAGGGGUUUCUAGAUCAUCAAGUGAGGAUUAAGCUAAGUAGAAUUUUAUUUGUACAUCUAUCCUUCAGUUACUAAAAUGUGAUUAUGGCUUCAGAGAAUGGGCUUGGAGAUUGGAUUCCUGAAUCUGUAGCUCAGCCCUGCCUCUUACUAGCUGUGUGACCUUGGGCAAUUUGGUUUUCCUCUCCGGGCCUCACUUUCCUCCUCUAUGAAAUCAAUUCCUACUUCACAGAGCUGUGGUGAGAUUUAAACACAUCUUUAUAAGUAACAUGCCUAGAACUCUACCAGGUACAUAGGAAGCACUCAAAAUGUUAACCAUUGUGGUAGGCAGAAUAAAGAUGCCCACAUCCUAAUCUCAGGAACCUGCGAAUGUGCUGUGUUUCAUGGUAAAAGUGGUAAUUAAGGUUGCAGGUGGAAUUAAGGCUGCUAAUCAGCUGACUGGCUUGGAUUAUCCAAUUGAGCCCAAUCGAAUUGCAACGGUCCUUACCACAAAACAGGGAAGCAGAAGCGUGAGUGUCCCAGUCAGAGAGAGGUUCCUCCGUGAAAUGCUGCUGGCUUUGAGGAUGGAGGAAAGUCAACUAACCACGAAAUGUGGGUGCCCCUGGAAAAUGGGAAAGACCAGGAAAAGAUUCUCCCUGAAGCUUCCAGAAAGCACAUAGCCCUGCCAGCACCUUGAUAUUAGCUGAGCAACACCCAUUCCAGACUUCUGACUUCUAACGCGAGAAAAUACUAAGUUUGUGGUAAGUCAUAAAAUUAGUAGUAAUUUGUGACAGCCACCGUGGGAAAUGAAUACAGCCAUUAUUAUUAUAAAUAUGGCGAGGAUGAGGAUACAGACUCCUGUGUGGCCUCAGAGAGCAGGGCGGCCACGAACGGGAGAAGGUUCCAGUCAGACUCUACUCCGGGGGGUCCCCAGGCUGAGGAAUCCGUCAGACGGGGAGGGGGGCAACCAUUGCACUGGACUGGAUAAAUUUGAAGCUGUAAAGCCCUUAUUCUAGAAUUUUGAAAAUUAGUGAUUAGUGUAGGAUAUAUUUGUCAGUAUAGUCUAGGAAUCAGAAUAUUUAUCAAAAUACUCCUUUCUCUCUUCUGUCUGCAUAGACAGUCAUGCUUUGAAAUGCAAUCCAUUUGCAAUACUUUCUUUGCUAUUUCCAAUUAGAAAAAACACGAAUUCCCUCUUCCGUUUACACCGCUCAUAGCUGGGCUAUAGGCUGCCUUUAUUCUAAUUCUCAAUAGUUUUGCAAAGUGUUUUUUGUUUUUUGUAUUUGUGUGUUUUUUUUUUCCCCCCUGCACAAAUUCCAUUUAGCAGUGAUGGAAAUAACACAAGAUAGUGGCGUUUGGGACCCCAUUUCAAACCCCAUCACAGAGGCAAAUAAUUAUUUGCAUUUUUGUUUCCUUCCAGUCAUUGUCCCUCUUACCAGACUGUCUUCAGUGAAUAGAAUUUUUCCCAUGAAGUGGGCAUUUUUUAAUGUUAUUUACAGAUGAGGAAGCUGAGGUCAGAAGGCUUCAAGAUAUACUGACUGUGGAACCAGAAAGAGCAGGGUGGGAAGCACCAGUGCACAGUAAGUGUGUUAAGGGCUGGUUUUCCAAGGGCGGAGACGGGGGGAAGCCCUGAUUUGCAGCAUUUGCUGUCUUCCAUGCUGUAAAUGUCCCCCCCCCCCCCGGGGGCUGAUUCAUGGGCAAGCCACUCAGGCUUGGGGAGUCUCAACUUCCUUUUCUGCAAAACGAACAGAACUCCAAACCAGGGCAGUGCCUGGUUCAGAGGACCUCCAGAACCCCCAGCGCCCUUCAUUCAGAAAAGAGAACCAGCUCCAGAAAGAGGGCAUGUCUGAUGAGAUGAUCCAAAGGCCACUGUACCCAAAGGCCAGCUCCAAAGCAAAUUAUUUAAUGUGGGAGACCUGCUGAUUCAAGACCUCAGAGUCCUUGGCUUAGUCUCAUCACUAUCCCCAGAAAUUCAGCUCUGGCCCUCAGCUUACAAACCCAACUCAAGCGUGGAGCUCACCAACCCUGCCCAUCUUUGCAAGCAGCUCUUCCUGCCCAUGCUUGGCCUGUCCCUGGUGAAGGACACCAGGCCUGCUUCCUCCAGCCCCUGCCCUGUUGCUGUUUGCCAGUGUCCCCAGCUCAGAGGCACCUGUCCUACCUGUCUGGGGCGCUGGGUACAUAAUCCAGAUGCUGGAAGGUGGCACAGCCCCCUGGUGGCUGUGGAGGAGGUAACCCCCGAUGCCUUGGUGCCUUGGCGGAGGUUGGUGACUGCCUCCAGCUGCCCUCUCGAGCAGGUAGGUGUCCCCCAAUAAGGGAACUCUCAGGCUGCUUUAAUGACAAGGUAAAUGCACACUGCCCUGUGCUCAUUUUUAAUCUUCUGAUGUGCAUGAAACAGCGUGGAAAUGGUAGAGUUGUUAAAAAAAGAAAUCGCACAGUGAAGUGGAAUCACAGCUCCCGGAUGGGUGAGAAUUGUCAGGAAUUCCAACACCGCUGCUCAGAGUCAACGCUUAAGUGUUCUCGAAGCGUCGGCCACCCCCAAGCUGUUCUCAGCAGUAGCAGAGUUGCUGGGUCCACGCAGAUCAGGGUGGUGGGGAGGAGGAGGGUAGGAACCGCCCCAAAGGGGCCAUUUAGUCUAAUAGUUUUUCCAUGAAAGUAGGCACUUGGAGGUGUGAGGGAUACCAUACAAACGAGGCAGCCAUGGCCCUUGCCCCAAUGGAGCUUUGCAUGGAAAGGCGAGGAAAGAGACUAUAAACAAGUAAACUGGUAAAUAUGUAAUCUCAACUUGGGAAAGAACUAGAAAGGCAAAAAGCAGAGUGGGGUGACAGAGAAUAAAGGGGUGUGUGGUGGGGGUGGGUUUCAGGAAGAAGCUUCUAGUAAAAGCAAGAUUGUCAAGGAAGCUUUAUUUGAGUUAAAAGGCGAUGAACCAGUUGGGCAAGAUGCUGGGGAAAGAGCCCUAGGCAAGGUCAAAGGCCUUAAAACAGGGGUCAGCAUACUUUUUCUGUAAAGGGUCAGAUUCCACACAGGUAAGGCUUCACUGUCCAUAAGUCUCUGUAUUGUUGAUGUUCUAAUAAAACUUUAUUUACAAAAUAGACGCGGGAAGUAUUCUGCCAAUUUGUGCCCUAAAACAAGAAACCACUGGGAGCAUGUCAGGAAAGAAUGAGGCUAGCCUCGGAGGAACCAGGAGGGAAGUGUCUCCAGGUAAGGAGAUGACGAAACAAAGGUGGGGUGCGGAGGGUGUAAGGAGUUUGGGCCAGAUUCUAAACACCGUGGAAAGCCAGGGGAGGUUUUUAAAGCAGUCAAAGGACAGGAUUGUGUUCACACCUUCACAAGAUUACUCUAGCUGCUGUGUGGAGAGAGGAGAAAGAACUGGCCAGCGGAAAGACAGGAAGCAGGAAGACCCACUUCCCCUCUACUGCAAUAGGUGGCGGGAGAGGUGUGGGCGGCCUGGCCUCCGGGUCAGGGUGAGGAGACACGGGGGGCUUUGAGAUGUGAUUCAGAGGUAGAAUCAACAGGAUUUGCAGAUGGAGGUAUGUGGGGCUGGAGAGUGGGAAGACCUCAAGUACAGGGCCCGAGUUUAAGGCUGGAGCAAGUGGGUGAGUCUACUGGGCUGUAGAAGAUGGGAAUGGAGGGUCUGGAGUCAGGGCAUCCAUCCAAGGCUGGAGAUCAAGAGUUUAAUCUCAAAUAUGCAAACUUGAGAUGCUUGUCAGUCUUUCCAGGUGAGAAGACCAAUAGUAGGUAUGUCAGGAUCCCAGAGGAGAAGUUGAGACAACACGCCUCCUUCCCUCAUUCCACUUGGACCUCUCUACCCUGGGCUUUGGUUCUUGUCCUGACUCCUAGCUGACCCAGCCCCAACCACAGGAUGACCUCCACUCCAUCAUAAAGGCUGUCACUGUUGUUGCGUCACCUGAUGCUGCUCAAAGACCCUCCAGGGAUAAGGGUCAGGCUCCAUCAAGACUGACUUCCAUGACACCUGCCAUGCCAGGGACGACAGUGGCUCCAGAGUUUCGGUCCAGCCCACCUAGACCCCUGGAGUCCUCCUGGAGGGGCCCAGUGACAUAACCAGAGAGCACAAAGGACUUCGUACUGCAAGAGGCAAACUUUGACCAAGUGAAAAAGAGCAGGGAAGGAACUGGCAGAUACACUGUUUACCUUCCCUCCUCUGACAUUUCUGAGACGUAGUCAUCUCCACAAUACAAGAUGCCACCUUGUACUUCCUUCCUUCCCUGCUUCAUUCCCCCUUUCCCUCAGUCCACCUUCCCUGGGAUUCUAUCCUCCAAUAAAACAUUAGCCCCUGAGCUUUGCCUCAAAUUUUCUUUUGUAGGGGGCUGGGGUAACAUAAGGGGUUUAGAUGCCAAAUAUGGUAAGCAUCACUUCUUUAUUUUAUGGACAUAUCCAAAGCACUUGUUACAUGCUAGAUAUUGUUCUAUGUGUCUUGCAGAUAUUAAUUUAGCUUAUCCUCAAAAUGAUCCUAUGAGGAAGAUAUUAUGGCUAUUCCUGUUUCACAGAUGAAAAAACCAUGUUAGAGUUUAAAUAGCUGGGUUGAUGAGUGCUUUCCAGGAGAAACAUAAUGCAAGUCACAUAUGUAGUUUUAAAUUUUCUUGCAACCUUGUUAAAAACACAAGAAGAAACAGGUGAAAUUUACUUUAAUAAUAUUUUUAUUAAUU